Long non-coding RNA from Vicia villosa (hairy vetch), 561 nucleotides. RefSeq lists it as uncharacterized. NCBI's taxonomy places the organism in Eukaryota, Viridiplantae, Streptophyta, Magnoliopsida, Fabales, Fabaceae. The record is from RefSeq and is a predicted model, not a curated record. The transcript is spliced from 3 exons.
CAUCGACGUGUGGUUUUGCGGUGGUAGAUCUGUCGUGGCGGCAACGCAUUUCCGGUGGAGAUUUUGAUAUUUAUCUGACCCUUCCAUGGGCUUAGGGUUUCAGGAGAUCUCGGUCGCAAGGUCUUUUCCAAUAUGGAAUUUUUUGUGGUGGUUAUGCGGAUUGGUUAGCAGAAUUUUGUGGGAAGUGGCGGUUCGAGUCGGUGAUGCAGCCUGUUAUAACAACCUGUUAUGGCAAAUAAAUGUUCUUUGUCAUAUUGUCUUUUAUGUCAUGUCAAACUAAGUUGAAAGCAUUCUACAGUUUAUUUCUUUGUAUUUCCCUAACACAGUUCGUUUUGUAUAGAUGUUAUCGGUGUCGUUGACACCGUGCUUUACACUCAGCAAAACUCUGGAGGGAAGAAGCCACAGAGUGUAAAUCAAUUUCAAUCUCAACAUAAUCUGCUUCUCUCUUUUAGGUAAAUUUGGAGCUUUAUUUGCAUCAAUACCGUUCCUAUACUUGCUGUUAUAUAUUGGAUUUUCUUAAGUGUCAAUAAGAUUUUACCACUCUAUCUGUCUCUGUGAAUA